GGUCCUAAGGUAGCGAAAUUCCUUGUCGGGUAAGUUCCGACCUGCACGAAUGGCGUAAUGAUGGCCAGGCUGUCUCCACCCGAGACUCAGUGAAAUUGAACUCGCUGUGAAGAUGCAGUGUACCCGCGGCAAGACGGAAAGACCCCGUGAACCUUUACUAUAGCUUGACACUGAACAUUGAGCCUUGAUGUGUAGGAUAGGUGGGAGGCUUUGAAGCGUGGACGCCAGUCUGCGUGGAGCCAACCUUGAAAUACCACCCUUUAAUGUUUGAUGUUCUAACGUUGGCCCCUUAUCGGGGUUGCGGACAGUGUCUGGUGGGUAGUUUGACUGGGGCGGUCUCCUCCCAAAGCGUAACGGAGGAGCACGAAGGUUAGCUAAUCCUGGUCGGACAUCAGGAGGUUAGUGCAAUGGCAUAAGCUAGCUUGACUGCGAGCGUGACGGCGCGAGCAGGUGCGAAAGCAGGUCAUAGUGAUCCGGUGGUUCUGAAUGGAAGGGCCAUCGCUCAACGGAUAAAAGGUACUCCGGGGAUAACAGGCUGAUACCGCCCAAGAGUUCAUAUCGACGGCGGUGUUUGGCACCUCGAUGUCGGCUCAUCACAUCCUGGGGCUGAAGUAGGUCCCAAGGGUAUGGCUGUUCGCCAUUUAAAGUGGUACGCGAGCUGGGUUUAGAACGUCGUGAGACAGUUCGGUCCCUAUCUGCCGUGGGCGCUGGAGAAUUGAGGGGGGCUGCUCCUAGUACGAGAGGACCGGAGUGGACGCAUCACUGGUGUUCGGGUUGUCAUGCCAAUGGCACUGCCCGGUAGCUAAAUGCGGAAGAGAUAAGUGCUGAAAGCAUCUAAGCACGAAACUUGCCCCGAGAUGAGUUCUCCCUGAGACUUUAAGUCUCCUGAAGGAACGUUGAAGACGACGACGUUGAUAGGCCGGGUGUGUAAGCGCAGCGAUGCGUUGAGCUAACCGGUACUAAUGAACCGUGAGGCUUAACCUU
Molecule: ribosomal RNA, 984 nt
Filed under: Klebsiella pneumoniae
Lineage: Bacteria; Pseudomonadati; Pseudomonadota; Gammaproteobacteria; Enterobacterales; Enterobacteriaceae
Description: bacterial LSU rRNA
Rfam family: Bacterial large subunit ribosomal RNA
Source: RNAcentral